RNAcentral lists this transfer RNA (73 nucleotides) under Saimiri boliviensis boliviensis (Bolivian squirrel monkey). Its description in RNAcentral is "tRNA-Lys (CTT) (tRNA-Lys-CTT-5-1)". It matches the Rfam family "tRNA". Rfam says of the family: Transfer RNA (tRNA) molecules are approximately 80 nucleotides in length. Their secondary structure includes four short double-helical elements and three loops (D, anti-codon, and T loops). Lineage: Eukaryota; Metazoa; Chordata; Mammalia; Primates; Cebidae. The record is from Rfam by way of RNAcentral.
GCCCAGCUAGCUCAGUCGGUAGAGCACGAGACUCUUAAUCUCAGGGUUGUGGGUUCAAGCCCCACAUUGGGCG